RNAcentral lists this ribosomal RNA (277 nucleotides) under uncultured Synergistaceae bacterium. Its description in RNAcentral is "partial 16S ribosomal RNA". It matches the Rfam family "Bacterial small subunit ribosomal RNA", at positions 1107 to 1382 of the family's 1533-position model. Lineage: Bacteria; Thermotogati; Synergistota; Synergistia; Synergistales; Synergistaceae. The record is from RNAcentral.
GCUGCCAGUUGCAACGGGUGAAGCCGGGCACUCUGGCGGGACUGCCAUCGACAAGAUGGAGGAAGGUGGGGAGUGACGUCAAGUCAUCAUGGCCCUUAUGUCCAGGGCGACACACGUGCUACAAUGGCCGGCACAGCGGGAAGCGAGGCAGUGAUGCCGAGCGGAUCCCUUAAAGCCGGUCUCAGUUCGGAUUGAAGUCUGCAACUCGACUUCAUGAAGCUGGAAUCGCUAGUAAUCGCAGAUCAGCCAAGCUGCGGUGAAUACGUUCCCGGGCCUU